Molecule: ribosomal RNA, 421 nt
Filed under: uncultured bacterium
Lineage: Bacteria
Description: partial 16S ribosomal RNA
Rfam family: Bacterial small subunit ribosomal RNA
Source: RNAcentral
AAUAUUGGACAAUGGGGGCAACCCUGUUCCAGCCAUGCUGCUUGUGUGAAGAAGGUCUUUUGAUUGUAAAUCACUUUAUGUUGGGAGGAAGGGCUUUAGGUUAAUACCCUGAAGUUUUGACGUUACCAACAGAAUAAGCAUCGGCUAACUCUGUGUUAUCAGCCGCGGUAAUACAGAGGGUGCUAGCGUUAUUCGGAAUUACUGUGCGUAAAGCGCGCGUAGGUGGUUCAGUAAGAUGGGUGUGAAAUCCCCGGGCUUAACCUGGGAACUGCUGUCAUAACUGCUGAGCUAGAGUACGGUAGAGGGUAGUGGAAUUUCCUGUGUAGCGGUGAAAUGCGUAGAUAUAGGAAGGAACACCAGUGGCGAAGGCGACUACCUGGACUGAUACUGACACUGAGGUGCGAAAGCGUGGGGAGCAAAC